AGGAGACGGUGAGACGUCCUGAUAACUUUCUCCAGCGUCCCAAGAGACCUGCUAGUUUGUUCCAGACAUUCUGACAAACCUUCAGAUGAAACUCCAGGAGAGGAGCUCAGUGAGGCUGCAGAUGAUGGAGAGGAGGAACAUGAAGCAGCAGCUAAAAGGGAUGGACGUGCAUCAGACAAGCUCAUAACAGAAAGCUGUGGCCUUGUCUCCAGAUUAUUGCCCGGGGACGUUGUGUUAUGACAGAGGCUUUGAUAUUAAAGACAGUGUGGGAGUCAAGGUCAAGGUUCUUUAUUGUCAUUC
Molecule: long non-coding RNA, 300 nt
Organism: Nematolebias whitei (Rio pearlfish)
Lineage: Eukaryota; Metazoa; Chordata; Actinopteri; Cyprinodontiformes; Rivulidae
Exons: 3
Source: RefSeq, a predicted model, not a curated record